Long non-coding RNA from Euleptes europaea (tarantolino), 252 nucleotides. RefSeq lists it as uncharacterized. The record is from RefSeq and is a predicted model, not a curated record. Lineage: Eukaryota; Metazoa; Chordata; Lepidosauria; Squamata; Sphaerodactylidae. The transcript has 3 exons.
AGACACAACGUUCUCUUGCGGCGUUUCCAGGAUGCCUGGAAGAUGCGCUACCUGGUGGGGGCGUGGCUGCUGUGGAAGGAUGCCUGCAGGACCGAGUGGGUGGUACAAGCUUUGGCAAGGCAGAGGCUGGCCCAGUGGGGCUGGAAGGCGUGGAGACGGCGUUACCUGCAGACUCGGGUGGCCGAGCGUUUCCUGGAGUCCCAAGACAGGAGUCUGCUCAAGAGGGCUUUUGAAACCUGGCGGCGCCUGGCA